UAUUGAAUGGGGUGCAGAGCUGCCUGGAA
This 29-nucleotide non-coding RNA is filed under the name Mus musculus (house mouse). Lineage: Eukaryota; Metazoa; Chordata; Mammalia; Rodentia; Muridae. The record is from RNAcentral.